UUGUUUUGUGGGCCAUGUAGGUAGUUGAAUUAUGGUUGGUUUAUUUAAUUGGAAAAAUAAAUGAAAGACUAGUUUGGGGAGUGCAAGGAUAAAAGGGUAGGAAGAAUAGAGAGAGGGCAUUGAGAAUUCAUUUAAGGGGGCAUGGGGUAUAUGGAGUAAAUCUCCGACUCUGAGAGAUUAUUAUGUGCUCAAUCUAUCGACAAGAGAGCAAACCCCUUUAACUAAAAGUUUUUCUUUUCUUAAAAAGGAUUUUUGCUUUUGACCAAAAAAAAGAAUGGAAUUUGUCCAUAUAUACAUAAAAAAAUCAUAAAUUCACUAUCUAACCAAAACAACCAUCUCUCUCCUCAUUCUUAUUCCUCUCUCUCUCUCUCUAACCUCUCACUAAAAAACUAAUUACCCUUUUUAUUUUGGUUAUUUCACAAAUAAUCUCAAAAAUUUUUUUUUUUUGUUAAAUUCAUAUUUGUUAUGGACUUUUAAUUAAAACUAAUUAAGUGAGUUGACUUAAGAGCAUCUCCAACAUGUCCUUAUG
This 529-nucleotide long non-coding RNA is filed under the name Brassica napus (rape). RNAcentral's name for it is "long non-coding RNA (BNAP_LNC009661)". The record is from RNAcentral. Lineage: Eukaryota; Viridiplantae; Streptophyta; Magnoliopsida; Brassicales; Brassicaceae.